This is a non-coding RNA of Sphaeramia orbicularis (orbiculate cardinalfish), 375 nucleotides long. NCBI's taxonomy places the organism in Eukaryota, Metazoa, Chordata, Actinopteri, Kurtiformes, Apogonidae. The record is from the annotation of a RefSeq genome assembly.
AUGACUUUGGUCUCCGUCCUCAUCUGGACUCUCCUCUGCUGCUGCUUCACAGAGUCCAGAGGCCAGGUCACAGUGACUCAGCCUGGAGCAGUGAGCUCUGAUCUGGGAGCCUCCACCACCAUCACAUGUACCACCAGUCAGGAUGUUUAUGGCUCUAACUAUUUAGCCUGGUACCAACAGAGAGAUGGAGAAACUCCUAAACUUCUCAUUUACUAUGCCACCACUCUACAAUCAGGGAUUUCCAGUCGUUUUUCAGGCAGUGGAUCAAACUCUCAUUUCACUCUGACCAUCAGUGAUGUUCAGGCUGAAGAUGCAGCAGUUUAUUACUGUCAGAGUUUACACCAGAUCAACAGCCUCUGGGUGUUCACACAGUGA